RNAcentral lists this ribosomal RNA (751 nucleotides) under uncultured bacterium. RNAcentral's name for it is "bacterial SSU rRNA". It matches the Rfam family "Bacterial small subunit ribosomal RNA", at positions 94 to 820 of the family's 1533-position model. The record is from RNAcentral.
AGUGGCAGACGGGUGAGUAAUACAUAGGUAACCUUCCCUCAAGAUGAGGAUAACCUUCCGAAAGGAGGGCUAAUACUGAAUGAGACCACAGGAACUAAGGUUCCAGGGGUCAAAGGAUGGCCUCUACUUGUAAGCUAUCGCUUGAGGAUGGGCUUAUGCACCAUCAGGUAGUUGGUAAGGUAAUGGCUUACCAAGCCUAUGACGGUUAGCUGAUCUGAGAGGUUGAUCAGCCAUACUGGAACUGAGACACGGUCCAGACUCCUACGGGAGGCAGCAGUAGGGAAUAUUGCGCAAUGGAGGAAACUCUGACGCAGCGACGCCGCGUGGGUGACGAAGGUCUUCGGAUCGUAAAGCCCUGUCGGCAGGGACGAAAAACGCAAUGGCUAACAUCCAUAGCGCUUGACGGUACCUGCAGAGGAAGCACCGGCUAACUACGUGCCAGCAGCCGCGGUAAUACGUAGGGUGCUAGCGUUGUUCGGAAUUAUUGGGCGUAAAGCGCGUGUAGGUGGUUUGUUAAGUCGGAUGUGAAAUCCCUGGGCUCAACCGAGGAAGUGCAUUCGAAACUACCAAGCUAGAGGACGGCAGAGGAUGGUGGAAUUCCUAGUGUAGAGGUGAAAUUCGUAGAUAUUAGGAGGAAUACCGGCGGCGAAGGCGGCCAUCUGGGCCGUUCCUGACACUGAGACGCGAAAGCGUGGGUAGCAAACAGGAUUAGAUACCCUGGUAGUCCACGCUGUAAACGAUGGGUACUAGG